Molecule: ribosomal RNA, 254 nt
Filed under: uncultured bacterium
Lineage: Bacteria
Description: partial 16S ribosomal RNA
Rfam family: Bacterial small subunit ribosomal RNA
Source: RNAcentral
UACGUAGGCAGCGAGCGUUGUUCGGAGUUACUGGGCGUAAAGGGUGUGUAGGCGGUUGUUUAAGUUUGGUGUGAAAUCUCCCGGCUCAACUGGGAGGGUGCGCCGAAUACUGAAUGACUUGGAGUGCGGGAGAGGAGAGUGGAAUUCCUGGUGUAGCGGUGAAAUGCGUAGAUAUCAGGAGGAACACCGGUGGUGUAGACGGCUCUCUGGACCGUAACUGACGCUGAAACACGAAAGCGUGGGUAGCAAACAGG